This 400-nucleotide ribosomal RNA is filed under the name uncultured bacterium. RNAcentral's name for it is "bacterial SSU rRNA". It matches the Rfam family "Bacterial small subunit ribosomal RNA", at positions 355 to 771 of the family's 1533-position model. The record is from RNAcentral.
UAGGGAAUAUUGCUUAAUGGGCGAAAGCCUGAAGCAGCAACGCCGCGUGUGCGAUGAAGGCCUUCGGGUUGUAAAGCACUUUUUGAGGGGAUGAGGAAGGACAGUACCCUCAGAAUAAGCCUCGGCUAACUACGUGCCAGCAGCCGCGGUAACACGUAGGAGGCGAGCGUUAUCCGGAUUUACUGGGUGUAAAGCGCGUGCAGGCGGUUCAGAAAGUUGGAUGUGAAAGCUCCCGGCUUAACUGGGAGAGGUCGUUCAAUACUUCUGGACUCGAGUAUGGGAGAGGGAGGUGGAAUUCCGGGUGUAGUGGUGAAAUGCGUAGAUAUCCGGAGGAACACCAGUGGCGAAAGCGGCCUCCUGGUCCAUUACUGACGCUCAGACGCGAAAGCUAGGGUAGCAA